CAAUAAGUGUUCAAUGGCACUUUAAAAUCCAUUACCCACCUUGUGUGCAAUGUAAGGAGGAGGGGGUUUGUCAGACUCUUUGGUCUGGUUUCCCCUCUUUCAUUAUACAUACCAAUCUUCUCUUGUUGUCUACUUUUUGAGUAUAAAAAACUCGAAUA
RNAcentral lists this unclassified non-coding RNA (158 nucleotides) under soil metagenome. Its description in RNAcentral is "partial internal transcribed spacer 1". The record is from RNAcentral.